RNAcentral lists this ribosomal RNA (600 nucleotides) under uncultured bacterium. RNAcentral's name for it is "bacterial SSU rRNA". It matches the Rfam family "Bacterial small subunit ribosomal RNA", at positions 90 to 676 of the family's 1533-position model. The record is from RNAcentral.
AUUCAGCGGCGGACGGGUGAGUAACACGUGGGCAACCUGCCCUGUAGAUUGGGAUAACUCCGGGAAACCGGGGCUAAUACCGAAUAAUCCACCAGACCACAUGGUCCGGUGUUGAAAGGCGGCUUCGGCUGUCACUACAGGAUGGGCCCGCGGCGCAUUAGCUAGUUGGUGGGGUAACGGCCCACCAAGGCGACGAUGCGUAGCCGACCUGAGAGGGUGAUCGGCCACACUGGGACUGAGACACGGCCCAGACUCCUACGGGAGGCAGCAGUAGGGAAUCUUCCACAAUGGACGAAAGUCUGAUGGAGCAACGCCGCGUGAGUGAAGAAGGUUCUCGGAUCGUAAAACUCUGUUGUGAGGGAAGAACAAGUACCGGAGUAACUGCCGGUACCUUGACGGUACCUCAUUAGAAAGCCACGGCUAACUACGUGCCAGCAGCCGCGGUAAUACGUAGGUGGCAAGCGUUGUCCGGAAUCAUUGGGCGUAAAGCGCGCGCAGGCGGUCCCUUAAGUCUGAUGUGAAAGCCCACGGCUCAACCGUGGAGGGUCAUUGGAAACUGGGGGACUUGAGUGCAGAAGAGGAAAGCGGAAUUCCAAGUGU